UUGGAAAUAAAUUAAAAAACAGAGGAUAAGUUGAUGUUGAAUAGUUGACAGGGUCUUGAAGAAGUUAUGCUUGCUUCGACGAUACCAGAAUCAAAGAUACUUAGGAUUCUUGAUUGGGAUCCUUGCUGAUCUUCUGGUUGUAUCAUUGCCUCCAUCUUUUGCAGAAGCCUUGUCCUCCAGGUUCAAGUGGCCAAAUUUAUCUGUUAGUUUGCUGCUAUUUUCCUUGGUAACUUUUUCUGGGGCAAAUUCUUCCAUUGGACAAGACUUUCUUCAACAAAUUUUGCUCCCUUUUUGAUC
This 297-nucleotide long non-coding RNA is filed under the name Carica papaya (papaya). RNAcentral describes it as "long non-coding RNA (CPAP_LNC012471)". Lineage: Eukaryota; Viridiplantae; Streptophyta; Magnoliopsida; Brassicales; Caricaceae. The record is from RNAcentral.